This 247-nucleotide ribosomal RNA is filed under the name uncultured bacterium. RNAcentral describes it as "partial 16S ribosomal RNA". It matches the Rfam family "Bacterial small subunit ribosomal RNA", at positions 524 to 770 of the family's 1533-position model. The record is from RNAcentral.
UACAGAGGGUGCGAGCGUUGUCCGGAAUCACUGGGCGUAAAGGGCGCGUAGGCGGCCUGAUAAGUCGGGGGUGAAAUCCUGUGGCUCAACCACAGGGCUGCCUCCGAGACUGUCGGGCUCGAGCACAGUAGAGGCAGGUGGAAUUCCCGGUGUAGCGGUGGAAUGCGUAGAGAUCGGGAAGAACAUCGGUGGCGAAGGCGGCCUGCUGGGCUGUUGCUGACGCUGAGGCGCGACAGCGUGGGAGGCA